This 1464-nucleotide long non-coding RNA is filed under the name Citrus x clementina. Its description in RNAcentral is "Citrus clementina (C. clementina) long non-coding RNA (CCLE_LNC002309)". Lineage: Eukaryota; Viridiplantae; Streptophyta; Magnoliopsida; Sapindales; Rutaceae. The record is from RNAcentral.
AUUUUUAUAUUAAAUUAAAAUAUAUAUAUUAACUUAAAAACAAAUUUAACCUAACUCCCACAUUCACACGCACUCACAACACUUUACCAGCAGCCGCAACCCACAAAUACCUAACACCCAAAUCCCCCCAAUUCCGUAGGAUGUCGCCGUCUGCCUCACGGCCUCGCCUAAGCCUCGUGUCCAAGCCUCGAUCUGAGUCGGUUGCUGUCGUUGCGCGCUGCACGCCUCGAUCUGAGUCGGUCGCUGCCGCUGCACGCUGCACGCCUCGAUCUGAGUGAGUUGCUGCCGCUACACGCUCGAUCUGAGUCAGUUGCUGUCGAAUCCUCGCCAUCGAAGAAGCCUCUUGCCGUCGAAUCCUCGCCAUCGAAGAAGCCUCUUGCCGUCGAAUCCUCGCCAUCGGAGAAGCCUCGUCUAAGCACUUUAAUUAAAAUGGUAUUGGCAAGCCUUGUUGAAUCCUUUGGCCUUUGUUGAUUCAAUUUAGUUUAAUUUUGAAUAAAUUUCUUUGCUGAUUCGUUUCAUCACUUUAAUUAAAUGCAUUAAUUUUCAAUAUAAUGUAAAUGUUUAAUAGGUUUUGGGAUUAAGUUUUAAUUUGGAAAAUUGUUGAAUUUUCAAAAUUAAAAAUUUAAAUGAAAUCUUGGUGAAACCUGUUGUCAUAUGCUGAUUAACAUAGCUAGUCUCUGAAAUAAUUUCUUGAUUCACUAAUUAUGAGUUCAAAUUUGAUGCAGAAUGGGCAACCAGCCUACUGCAAACAAAUCUUCUGGAACAGUUCAGAUGAAGGGACAGCCAAUCCAGCAAAACAGUUAUAAACAACUCUAAAUAAAUUCAUAUACGCAUUGUAACUAAUUACAGCCUUGAUACUUCAUUUGGUUUUUGUUAAUUUUCUAUACAGUUGUGCUGUGCAUUAAAGUUUUGUUAAAUGAAAUCGGUAGGUGAGGAUUAAUUAAUCAAUUAAUUAAGAUCCAGUUAAUGUAAUUAAUUUUAUUGGAUUUUUUUAAUUCGAGUUCUAAAUUAAUCAAUUAAUUUAGAUUCAUGUGAAAUUGAAGUGAAUUAGUUUCGAUCUGUUUUUCGUCCUAUGUUUGUCUCUGUUUACUCGUACUUUUUUUUUAAAGAGUAUAAGUAACAUUGCAGUACAGUUAGCCCUUGCGUGUUUAAUUAGCAAUUGAAAACUACUGUUGCUGAUGAGGUAGAACAUUAUAACACUGUUGCUGAUGAGGCAGCUGGUAAUUCUUCUGGUGAAGAUAUUAAGACUAUUAAAGCUGAAAUGUAAUUAGAGAAAUAUAAUGCAUUCCCUUAGUUUGCUUUUUGUUUUUUAUAUUUGUUUUGCUAAUGCUUUGCUUAGAUUGCUUUUUGUUUUUUGAGAUUUUAUUGGCUUAGUCAUGGGGUAUUGUUUUCUCUUCUAAUUUCUAUUUUUGUUGUUAUGGGAUUUGAUUGUAGUGUACAUAUACGAAAAUUAUGUAAUCAAGU